GGGGGCGAACUGGUUUCGACGUGCUUCUUGUGGGUACGGUGGGCGCGCCGGGUCCUGUCGGGACGACCCGUUAAAAACCUUCCGACACACUCCAUAAACGCCAACGAUAAUCUGGCGCUGGCGGCCUAACUAGGCCCCGGAGCGGGGGAAGGCGGUUUGGGCCUUCAGCGCCUCCCCGCUCCACGGAACUGAAGGUCUCCUGAUCCGACAGCCUUCGGUCGGAAUCUUGUACCUUGAAGGCUGGGCCUGGCCGGGGCUGCCUGCGGUCAACCGGUAGGCCGAGACACAAUCGCGGGAUACGCGCGUAGAACAUCGUGUCCGGGAUUCACGGACGGGGGUUCGAUUCCCCCCGCCUCCACCU
Molecule: transfer-messenger RNA, 361 nt
Filed under: Candidatus Lindowbacteria bacterium RIFCSPLOWO2_02_FULL_62_12
Lineage: Bacteria; Candidatus Lindowiibacteriota
Also listed under: 2 other names
Rfam family: transfer-messenger RNA
About the family: Bacterial tmRNA, also known as 10Sa RNA or SsrA, is named for its dual tRNA and mRNA-like properties. Its role is to liberate the mRNA from a stalled ribosome. To accomplish this part of the tmRNA is used as a reading frame that ends in a translation stop signal.
Source: RNAcentral